AAGUCGUAACAAGGUUUCCGUAGGUGAACCUGCGGAAGGAUCAUCAUUGAAUUCAUUUCUCUACAAACCCUGUGAACUGUACGGUUGAGCGUUUGGCGGGUAAGAGGUGGCAAAGGGGGCUGCUGUGCGCGGCUGGCUCCCUUUCUUCCUCUGUGCGUGUCGCGUCGUUGAGGCGCGCGUGCGCCCGCCACCUGCUCGCAUUUUAAACAAACUCUUUAAGCAUCCUUAACUGAAACAAUAAAUUUAAACUAAAACAACUUUCAACAAUGGAUCUCUUGGUUCUG
Molecule: unclassified non-coding RNA, 284 nt
Filed under: fungal sp.
Lineage: Eukaryota; Fungi
Description: partial internal transcribed spacer region
Rfam family: Eukaryotic small subunit ribosomal RNA (bases 1-46)
Source: RNAcentral